GUGAGGUGAGUUGAGGUGAGGUAAGGUGAGGUGAGAUGAGGUAUGGUGAGUUAAGGUAUGGUGGGGUGAGGUGAGGUGAGGUAAGGUGAGGUAAGGUAUGGUGUGGUGGGGUGAGGUGAGGUGAGGUGAGGUGUGGUGGGGUGAGGUGAGGUGAGGUGAGGUAAGGUAUGGUGGGGUGAGAUGAGAUGAGUUACGGUAUGGUGGGGUGAUGUGAGGUAUGGUGUGAUAGGGUGAGGUGAGAUAUGGUGGGGUGAGGUAUGGUGGGUGAGAUGUGGUAGGGUGAGGUGAGAUGAGGUAAGGUAUGGUGUCAUAGGGUGAGGUGAGGUAUGGUGGGUGAGGUGUGGUAGGGUAGGAUGAGGUGUGGUGAGGUGAGCUAUGGUGGGUGAGGUGUGGUAGGGUAGGGUGAGGUGUGGUGAGGUGAGCUAUGGUGGGUGAGGUGAGGUAUGGUGAGGUGAGGUAAGGUAUGGUGAGGUGAGGUGAGGUGUGGUGAGGUAAGGUAAGGUGGGGUGAGGUAAGGUAUGGUGGGGUGAGGUGAGGUAAGGUAUGGUGAGGUGUGGUAGCGUGAGGUGGGGUGAGGUAUGGUGAGAUAUUGUGUAUUAAGGUGGUCAGUAGGAUGGUAAAGGGUUGUAGGACGGGGUCAGUAGGAUGGUGUAGGGUUGUAGGACGGGGUCAGUAAGAUGGUGUAGGGUUGUAGGAUGGGGUCAGUAGGAUGGUAAAGGGUUGUAGGGGUCAGUGGACGGUGUAGGGUUGUAGGAUGGGGUCAGUAGGAUGGUGUAGGGUUGUAGGAUGGGGUCAGUAGGAUGGUAAAGGGUUGUAGGACGGGGUCAGUAGGAUGGUAAAGGGUUGUAGGACGGGGUCAGUAGGAUGGUAAAGGGUUGUAGGACGGGGUCAGUAGGAUGGUGUAGGGUUGUAGGAUGGGGUCAGUAGGAUGGUAAGGGGUUGUAGGACGGGGUCAGUAGGAUGGUGUAGGGUUGUAUGAUGGGGUCAGUAGGACGGUAAAAGGUUGUAGGAUGGGGUCAGUAGGAUGGUGUAGGGUUGUAGGAUGGGGUCAGUAGGAUGGUGUAGGGUUGUAGGAUGGGGUCUGUAGGAUGGUGUAGGGUUGUAGGAUGGGGUCAGUAGGAUGGUGUAGGGUUGUAGGAUGGGGUCAGUAGGAUGGUGUAGGGUUGUAGGACGGGGUCAGUAGGAUGGUGUAGGGUUGUAGGGUGGGGUCAGUAGGAUGGUAAAGGGUUGUAGGACGGGGUCAGUAGGAUGGUGUAGGAGUGAGGUGAGGUGAGGCUUGUAAGUUAUGGUGGAGUGAAAUGAGGUAAGGUAGGGUGAGGUGAGGUGAGGUAAGGUGAGGUGAGGUAUGGUGAGGUAAGGUAUGGUGAGGUGAGAUGAGGUGAGGUAAGGUGAGGUGAGGUAUGGUGAGGUAAGGUAUGGUGAGGUGAGGUGAGGUAAGGUAAGGUGAGGUAAGGUAUGGUGUGGUGGGGUGAGGUGAGGUGAGGUAAGAUGUGGUGGGGUGAGGUGAUGUGAUGUAUGGUGGGGUGGGGGGAGUUGAGUUGAGGUAAGGUGAUGUAAGGUGUGGUGGGGUGAGGUGAGGUAAGGUGUGGUGGGGUGAGAUGCGGUAAGGUAAGGUGAGGUGAGGUGAGGUAAGGUAUGGUGGGGUGUGGUGAGGUGAGGUGAGGUGAGGUAAGGUAUGGUGGGGUGAGGUGAUGUGAGGUAAGGUAUGGUGUGGUGAGGUGAGGUAUGCUGGGGUGAGUUGAGGUAAUGUGAUGUAAGUUGUGGUGAGGUGAGUAUCCCUGACCUAAAACAGACAAUAUAACUUAAAUCAUCCAAUCAGUCAGCCAGUCAGGCCGUCAGUCAGCCAGUCAGUCAGCCAGGCAGUCAGGCAGGCAGGCAGCCAGCCAGCCAGCCAGUCAGCCAGUCAGGCAGUCAGGCAGUCAGCCAGCCAGUCAGCCAGGCAGUCAGCCAGGCAGUCAGCCAGUCAGGCAUUUAGGCAGUCAGUCAGCCAGCCAGCCAGCCAGCCAGGCAGUCAGCCAGUCAGCCAGUCAGUCAGUCAGUCAGCCAGUCAGGCAGUCAGUCAGCCAGUCAGGCAGUAAGUCAGCCGGUCAGUCAGCCAGUCAGUCAGCCAGGCAGUCAGCCAGCCAGGCAGUCAGCCAGUCAGGCAUUUAGGCAGUCAGUCAGCCAGCCAGCCAGGCAGUCAGCCAGUCAGCCAGGCAGUCAGUCAGUCAGUCAGGCAGUCAGUCAGCCAGUCAGGCAGUAAGUCAGCCAGUCAGCCAGCCAGCCAGCCAGGCAGUCAGCCAGUCAGGCUGUCAGUCAGUCAGUCAGCCAGUCAGGCAGUCAGUCAGCCAGUCAGGCAGUAAGUCAGCCAGUCAGUCAGUCAGUCAGCCAGUCAGUC
This 2377-nucleotide long non-coding RNA is filed under the name Salmo salar (Atlantic salmon). Its description in RNAcentral is "lncRNA (ENSSSAG00000121740.1)". The record is from RNAcentral. Lineage: Eukaryota; Metazoa; Chordata; Actinopteri; Salmoniformes; Salmonidae.